Molecule: ribosomal RNA, 497 nt
Filed under: uncultured bacterium
Lineage: Bacteria
Description: partial 16S ribosomal RNA
Rfam family: Bacterial small subunit ribosomal RNA
Source: RNAcentral
GAUGAACGCUGGCGGCGUGCCUAACACAUGCAAGUCGAGCGGCAAGACGGUAAGCUCGUGCCCUUGAGGUUAGCGGCGGGCGGGCGAGUGACAAGUAGAUAACCUACUUCUUAGUCUGGGAUGACAACGGGAAACCACAGACACUAACAGCUCAUACAUUCAACCGGUGGGUUCAAUAGUUCAUCACGGCUUUGCUGUUUGAUAUAGACGGUUUCGCGUCGGAUUAGUUAGUUGGUAAGGUAACGGCUUACCAAGGCAACGAAGCGUAGCCGACCUGAGAGGGUGAUCGGCCACACUGGAACUGAGACACGGUCCAGACUCCUACGGGAGGCAGCAGUAGGGAAUAUUCCGCAAUGGGCGAAAGCUUGACGGAGCAACGCCGCGUGAGUGAUGAAGGUCUUCGGGUCGUAAAACUCUGUUAUUAGGGAAGAACAAAUGUGUAAGUAACUAUGCACGUCUUGACGGUACCUAAUCAGAAAGCCACGGCUAACUACGUG